UUGAAAGACCAGUUCCCGUACGAUCAUCGAAGUUAAGCAACGUCGAGCCUGAUCAGUACCUAGAUGGGUGACCGCUUGGGAAUGCCAGGUACAGUA
RNAcentral lists this ribosomal RNA (96 nucleotides) under Acanthosepion pharaonis. The record is from RNAcentral. Lineage: Eukaryota; Metazoa; Mollusca; Cephalopoda; Sepiida; Sepiidae.